Molecule: ribosomal RNA, 408 nt
Filed under: Fusobacteriota bacterium
Lineage: Bacteria; Fusobacteriati; Fusobacteriota
Description: Fusobacteria bacterium partial 16S ribosomal RNA
Rfam family: Bacterial small subunit ribosomal RNA
Source: RNAcentral
UGGGGAAUAUUGCACAAUGGACGGAAGUCUGAUGCAGCAACGCCGCGUGCGGGAUGACGGCCUUCGGGUUGUAAACCGCUUUUUCUCAUGACGAAGUUUUUUGACGGUAGUGGGGGAAGAAGCACCGGCUAACUACGUGCCAGCAGCCGCGGUGAUACGUAGGGUGCGAGCGUUGUCCGGAAUUAUUGGGGGUAAAGAGCUUGUAGGCGGUUUGUCGCGUCGAUAGUGCAAACUCAGUGCUUAACGCUGAGCCUGCUGUUGAUACGGGCAGACUAGAGGAAGGUAGGGGAGAAUGGAAUUCCCGGUGGAGCGGUGGAAUGCGCAGAUAUCGGGAGGAACACCGGUGGCGAAGGCGGUUCUCUGGGCCUUUCCUGACGCUGAGAAGCGAAAGCGUGGGGAGCGAACAGG